Molecule: long non-coding RNA, 3701 nt
Filed under: Triticum aestivum (bread wheat)
Lineage: Eukaryota; Viridiplantae; Streptophyta; Magnoliopsida; Poales; Poaceae
Description: long non-coding RNA (TAES_LNC013676)
Source: RNAcentral
CCUGCCACGUGGCGCGCCCCUGGUGUCACGACAGCCAUCUAUGCCUACAGCAUUGCCGUCGGCAUACUUGCUGACCAGAACCAAAAAAAAAGAUUAACCAACAAGGCUAGCUAUUUACAAAUGCUUAUACAAACAUGAUUCAACAGCCAUGGAUUUGCAACCACAGAACAUAGUAUAUUUUUUAUGUACAUAACAUUUCCAUUCUAAGAAUCCACAACAACAUUAUAGGAGGCCGAGGGGCGGUGGUGGGGGAGACAAGGCUGCAACGAUGGAGGUGGCAUACAGUCAGUACAACAAACCGAAGAUCCUACAUAUGAGGAUGAAUAUGUAAUCUAUACAUUGAAUUUACCAAAAGAAAAUCGCCUAGAACAGGGGCAUCAAACUAAAAAGGCAGAAAAUUAUUGCUUUUGCUGAAGAUAACUUGUCAUGUUGGUGCUUGAACCGAACAAUACUACUAAUACAUACAGUACAGAGAUGCUCCAGUUUCGGUUGUAUCUAUCAAGCAUCAGUUGUUGUUCAAGGCAAGCUUCAAAGAGAAAGAGAGUGGUGCUGAUUCAUAUGUAUAUAUGUAUAUACAGAAGAUGCAAGUGUCAUCAAGUUGGCUUUAGUCAAAGUAAAAACAAAUGGACACAUACAAAACUGAACCAAGGGUGGUGCUGAUUCAUGUGUAUGUACAGAUUGAGGUGCCAUCCAGUUGGUUUCAGUCAAAGUUCAACCAAAAAAAAUUGACACAUACAAACUGAAGAAAAGUGUGGUGCUGAUUCAUAUGUAUGUAUGUACAGGAGAUGCAAGUGCCACCAAGAUAGAUAGUUUCAGUCAAAAGUAAAAAAACAAUUGGACACAUACAAACUGAAGCAAACCGUCGUGCUUUUUCAUGUGUACAUACAAAAGAUGCAAGUGGUAUCCAGAAUUUGGAUAUAGGUAGUACGCUCAUGUGGUGAAUUUUGUGAAUCUAUACUCUGCAUCUACCAAAAGGAUAACUCCCCUCACAUGCAAAUAUAAUUCAGUCCAAUGGCUUUCGUCUCCCCUCACAUGCAUAAGACGAGAGCAGACCAUCUAAACAGGCGGAUCAGACCUUCACCUUGGGAGAGAGGCGAGUGCUACCUGUUGCCGUAUCGUCGUCGAGCUCGGGUGGUCCUCCUCCUCCUCCUCGAGCAGGACAAGGUUGUUUCUCCCCUACACUCCAAUGGCCAUCUUCUCCAAGGACAUCUACAAGGGCAGAACACACCAUUGAUGCAAGUGUCACCAAGAUAGUUUCAGUCAAAGUUAAAGCAAAUGUAAAUAUGCAAACUGAACCAAACCGAGGUGCAUAUUCAUAUGUGUGUGUAUGUAGAGAUGCAAGUGCAAUCUGAAUUUUGGGGAACCAAAGCAUGGUUGUUGUCGUUGUUGUUGCUACUUUAGCAGCAACAACAUCCUUGAAAUCAAACGAGGAGCAAGUUGUUUUAGCAGCAGCGCAUACUAGUAAUUAGUUAGGACCAUUAUUAUUGAACAACCAUUCGAGGAUGGUGGCAGACACAUCAAUCUCACAAGGCUCUACUGGAGAAACAAAAGCAUAGGAUAUGUGAUGCUAGCAAUCUUAGCACAAGAAGAAAAAAACACAGCCUCUCCGAUAGAAUGGAUGGAUGCAUCAUGCACAAUCAUCGGUUCCAUCAUUGCAGCACUAGUUGAGCAACAAAUCAAAUAUAACAGUAGUUCCAUUCGUUCAGCCAACAAGUUAACAAAAGUUUACUUCCCACUACUAAUUUUGCAACUUGUCAUGAUAAAGAAAACAGAGCUCGACAUCACAGCAACAAAAGCGGUAGACUGGGAGCCUGGAACCAUGCAAACCAAAUCACAGAGCAGAAAAAUAACAGUACUACCUAGAGCAAUAAGAAACUCAACGGACUAGGGCAACAUUUGGAAGGAGACAAGCAAGUACUACAACAGCUAGCUGGGCUGAAUUGAAGAUUAACCAAAAUCAUAUCAAGUAUUUGUUGAGCAUGAUUAUACACGGGAAGGGGAAGGGGUUCACGGCAGGGACCUUUAGGUCAUGGCCUGGCUUGCAUCUCUCCUCCUCAUGUGCAUUGGUUUGCAUCCAAUCCUUCCAGUCCAAUCCAUGGACGUCCCUCCCUCCUUGCAUCUCUAGAACAACACGACACUUAAGUUUCAUCAACUUCCAUUGCUACUGAUAAAAGAGGAGCAAGAUGUAUAUGCUGCAUAAAUCAUACAUGGAGAAGCAAGCUGCUUGAAAACAGAGGAGGUCCAUGAUGGUUGUUCUCAUUCGCAACAGAAGAACUCAAAAAAGUGCGCAAGUGUAUGCUAUCUAUGGAUACACCAACUCUAUCAGUACCUAGCACCCAAACUAAGAAAAAAAAUCAUUCAUAUGCAGCAGCCUAAACUCAACUUUGAGAGAGCGGACUGAUUAACAUUUUUUUGUUGGGUCGAAUUUUUCACAAAUAUAGAUAGAAGCACUCCAGAAGCUACAUAAUAAAUCAUAGAGGCCGGCCGAACUAAUUGGCGCACUCAAACCAUACAAGAGAGCGGCCCGAUGGACAACUAAGCAAGCAUACACAGCAAAUAAAACUACAUCACCAAUAUUAUGUAAUUAACUGGAAGCUCUUGUUCAUCAUACCAGUACAAAUAUACUAUCUAUAUCUAUACUUUAAUCAUGCAGUCAAUUGAAGUAAAAGCUGGCUCGGCCAGGAAUCAAGCCUAGGAUGUGAAUUUGUCACAGGAUUUGUCACAGGAUCCAACUAGGCCACUGUACUUUACUUGUCAAUUGGAGUAAACCGAUUCUUCAUGUACAUUGUAAAGUAGUGCUAAAGUUCCCUUGAACGUGAUUCCACGCGUACGUGCAGAAUACAUGUGAAUAUUUGUGUCCGAGUAGGACUGGAAGUAGACAUGGCUAGGGGCUAUAUACUUAUACACUGGUAAGUUAUGGAAUUGAUCAUAAGCAUCAACAAAGAAAAAAAGAGAUUGUCACGAGCCUAUGGCCAAUCACAAAUUAGAGGACAAACUAAAAGAAAGCUAACUAGAGAUUUCCUCCGUGUGUGUGUACGUUGUGCUCUGGCCGGUGGGGGAAUGAUAAAAAAAGCAACUACUGCUAUGUAUGUUAGCUUGUCCGUCAGGAUAGAUCAAACUAGCUACCGGUGAAGGAUAUAGCCAGCUUCAUGUGGUGCAGUGCAUCACAUAUUCCUCUACUUAGCAGCAGCAGUAGUGAGCAGAGGAAGGAGGCGGAGGAGAUGGAGGUGCUACCUGCCGAGGUGGGUCGUCGUGGCCGUGCUUGAGCUCGGCAGCCCCCGCCUCCUCGAGCAGGACAGGGCCGCCAGCUAGGUGCGCCCCUCGUCCUCCGCCUCCUCGAGUAGGAAGGACGGCGCCCUCCUGCCGUCGCCGCCGUCCAGACCGCACCAAGGUGACCUGCAGCAAGGGAAGGAAAGGAGAAGGUGAGGUGGGGAGGGUGGAUCCGGGCGAGGAAAGAGGGGAAGGACGUACCUGCGCCACGCCCGUAACAGAUCCGUCGAGCUCUGGCCUCGCCGUCGCCGGAUCUGGCUGAUCCCGGCGAUGUUAGGGGUGGCGGUCGAAACCCUAGCUAGCCACGGGGUCGGUGGAGGACGGGAGCGCCGAUUCUGGACGGAGGGGAAGGUGGACCGGACCUAGGGGAGCUCGGGGUCGUGCUGCGCGCCGCCGGAGCUCGCCGGAACCGGCCGCCGUGGGUGGUGGCG